UACGAAGGGGGCUAGCGUUGUUCGGAAUUACUGGGCGUAAAGCGCGCGUAGGCGGUAGUCCAUGUCAGAGGUGAAAUCCCGGAGCUCAACUCCGGAACUGCCUUUGAAACGGGACUGCUAGAAUCCGAGAGAGGAUGGCGGAAUUCCUAGUGUAGAGGUGAAAUUCGUAGAUAUUAGGAAGAACACCGGUGGCGAAGGCGGCCAUCUGGCUCGGUAUUGACGCUCAGGCGCGAAAGCGUGGGGAUCAAACAGG
Molecule: ribosomal RNA, 253 nt
Filed under: uncultured bacterium
Lineage: Bacteria
Description: partial 16S ribosomal RNA
Rfam family: Bacterial small subunit ribosomal RNA
Source: RNAcentral